Molecule: ribosomal RNA, 1145 nt
Filed under: Triticum aestivum (bread wheat)
Lineage: Eukaryota; Viridiplantae; Streptophyta; Magnoliopsida; Poales; Poaceae
Description: partial small subunit ribosomal RNA
Source: RNAcentral
GUGGAGACUGGAGGGGGUCUACCUGAGGAAAGCAACGGAAAGGGUGCUUCCGAACUUUGGGUCUGUGCGCUGGGGGGUGGGGAGAGAGAGCAAAGGAGAAGAGGUAGGGGUGCGGGUUUAGGUGUAGCGGCGAGGGAGAAAGAGUCGGUUUAGGUGUAGGGGCGGCACUAGUAACGGCUUUGCUCUGUCCUCCCACCUCCGCUCCCUCUCUCCCCUCCGACCUACUCCCCCUGCACAAGGCGCCGCCGCCACCGACCUCCCGUCUCGAGCCUGCUCCCGUCACACUGGUACCACCGGCGUCCCGUUCCCUCUCUCCCCUCCGGCCUGCUCCCGCCGCACCGGCGUCACCGACCAACCCACCGAGGGGGCGAGAGCACGUUGGUGUACAGGCUGCGGUACUCUCCCAGGUCCGACGAGGCGCUCCAAGAAGAGGUCACUGCUACGCUGUGUCAAGCCCUCAGUUGUUCCAGGAGAGUGCGGGGAGAAGAUGAGGGGAACCAAUCUAAGGUAAGCUAAACCUACAACGCAACGAUAAUCAGUGCGCCCAGGCUAAACAAAAGAGUGUGUCCAGUAGCAGAAGCAGUUCCGGAUCUCGAUCGACGCUGGUUCGUGCCUAGUUGAUGGAGAUCUAGCAGGAGGUGGUGCGAACGCGCCGACUACCCGUUCGUGCCGCCGGAACUGGUUCCUCUUGAACUCUACAUUGUAUGUUCACCACCAGUAUCUAGUCUUUCCGUUCAAGAAGUUUCCUUCAACACCGCCCGGUGUUUGACUUACCUAUCGAUUUACUUAUUCUGCCGGCCUGAUACACUGUACCCGACCUGACAACCCGAUACUUCUAUGUUCUGUCUUCUGAAGCAGAGCACAGGCCUACCCUGAGAGGAACCGCACUUUCCGUUCGAACCGCAAACCUAUACAUAUAAGGAAAAGAGACAUUGAUUGAAACAUAUUGGGAUCAGGGGAGGCCACAGAUAUAUUUGGCCUCCCAAAUCAGGUGUUCCGUCUUAGUAUUAGUGUAUCCGAUCUGAAGAUCCCAAAAUAGGUAAUGCUAGAGCACCAUCUAGUUGAGAACAUUAUGAGUGUAAGUAGUUCUAGUUAGUUCGUCUUUCAUCCCAUAAUGGAGGUAUCUCUCCCGGGCUUGGACCCAU